This 515-nucleotide ribosomal RNA is filed under the name uncultured bacterium. Its description in RNAcentral is "bacterial SSU rRNA". It matches the Rfam family "Bacterial small subunit ribosomal RNA", at positions 798 to 1317 of the family's 1533-position model. The record is from RNAcentral.
CACGGUAAACGAUGGAUGCCCGCUGUUUGCGAUAUACUGUGAGCGGCCAAGAGAAAUCGUUAAGCAUCCCACCUGGGGAGUACGCCGGCAACGGUGAAACUCAAAGGAAUUGACGGGGGCCCGCACAAGCGGAGGAACAUGUGGUUUAAUUCGAUGAUACGCGAGGAACCUUACCCGGGCUUGAACUGCAGGAGAACGAUACAGAGAUGUUGAGGUCCUUCGGGACUCCUGUGGAGGUGCUGCAUGGUUGUCGUCAGCUCGUGCCGUGAGGUGUCGGCUUAAGUGCCAUAACGAGCGCAACCCUUUUCGUCAGUUGCCAUCAGGUGAAGCUGGGCACUCUGGCGAUACUGCCACCGUAAGGUGUGAGGAAGGUGGGGAUGACGUCAAAUCAGCACGGCCCUUACGUCCGGGGCUACACACGUGUUACAAUGGGUGGUACAGAGAGUCAACCGCCGGCAACGUCGGUUUAAUCAAAAAAGCCAUCCUCAGUUCGGAUUGGGGUCUGCAACCCGACC